This is a long non-coding RNA of Anolis carolinensis (green anole), 4548 nucleotides long. RefSeq lists it as uncharacterized. The transcript has 2 exons. NCBI's taxonomy places the organism in Eukaryota, Metazoa, Chordata, Lepidosauria, Squamata, Anolidae. The record is from RefSeq and is a predicted model, not a curated record.
AUUAUUAUUAUUAUUAGAAUGAGAAGUGCUUGAUUUCAAGACAUAUUUUGCAGCAAAUACCCUCCGACAAUAAUUUUAAAGCAUCACCAGAAUGCCUGUUCAAAAAUGACAAAGUGAUUAGAAACACAAACACAUAAAUGUUGUGUCAUGGGAUGCUUUUGCAGAUAGGAAAAGACCAGGUGUAUAAUUCCAAACGUUAUUAACCAGCCUAGCUCCUCUUUGUACCUAUUCUUCAACAGCACUUUUACAUAUGUGGAAUAUUCCCGAAUACUAAAACAUUUACAAGCCACAAAACAACUGAGGGGAAUGUUAAAAAGGGAGGAAGAAGACCCCCGGUAUGCCUCUCCCACCCGAUUGUAUUUCGCCAUUAUGUCAGUUAACAACUACACUAGAAACAAGCACCAGAUUUUCCCCCCACUCUGUGAGUAAUUGUCUGCAUAGCAGUGACAGAUGUGCAAUAUAGCAGCUUCUUCAGGAAAAAAAAUUAACAGUUUGUCCAGCAUGUCAGCUCGCUCUUUUUAGUGCUUCGGAGGUCCUGGCCCCAUUAUGGAUGAUUUAGAAAUUGAGGCAAGCUAAGACCAGCUGCCGGAGUUGAAAGCCUUAGUUAGUAGGCUUCAUCUGCAUUCCAGUAUUCACUUACAUCUCGAAAUUGGUCGGGCCCCUCCGGCCACAAGAUGAGUGUGGGCUGACAAUGCCUUGAUUUGUCGAGAGAGAGAAUAAAUGGGUUUUUCAGAAGAUGAGGAAAUAUCACCAUUACUGGCCAAUUUACAGCAUUUUAUCUGUUCUUCAAACAUGUCACUUUUGUUAUUGUCGCAUGGUAAUUACAUAGUGAAACGGAAAGAAAACAAAUUCCGGUUACAUAUUCAGAUGGAUUGCAAAAUCAUAUAAUCCCGAUAAAUGCCCAUUUAUGAUACACACGGAUGAAAGGUUCAUUUUAAUUUUGAAUAGCUUGCACACAGCCAUAAAUACGAUAUAGGAUUAGAAUUUGCUGAAUCCGAUUAUGAAAAGCAAAUGGUAUUUUCCCCUCAUUUCCUCCUCCCCACAAGAACUUGCAAAUUUAUAAUGGGGAAUGUAUUUAAACUGGGUUUGGGGAUUGCUCCCCAACAAUCCACUCCUAUCAAUGACUUCAAAAAAUUAUAGAUACACACAAUAGGUGCGUGGGUGUGUUUUCUGAGCAGCUCCCUCAAGAAAUAGGGGGGUUAAUUUCACUAAAUGUGUCUUUCUGUGGAAAGAAGGCAAUCGUUGUGGCUCUUGUAAAAAGGAUCACAAUGUAUAUAGAAAGAGGCUAUUUCCCCUCCUCUAGGAAAGUACUUGGAAUGCAGAAAAGAGCUCAUGUCAUUAGACAUGACAAUACCAAUAACAAAGCCAGUGAUGAUAAAAAAGUGAUUCCAUUAUGCCAGAAUUUAUGUCGUCUUUUGGAUAGAAGACUUACAUCAUAUGCUAAAGCUUUGGAAAAUAUGUCACAAAUAUUUUAAAAAACUCUACCCAUGACAUUACUAAGAAACACCGAGCUCUCUUUUCAGGUGGUGAAAAUCACAAUCCACUAUAAAUGUUUAAUGCACAGAACCCAUUCAGAUGAAUACGAAUUGGGCAAGCAUCACAUCUCUAGUGACUGGUGACCACUGCAUGAGUAAAAGUAAUAAUAAUAAUAGUAAUAAUAAUAAUAAUAAUAAUAAUAAUAAUAAUAAAAAAACUUUAUUUAUACCCCGCCACCAUCUCCCCAACGGGGACUCGGGGUGGCUUACAUGGGCCAUGCCCAAAACCAUACAAUAUGACAAAAUAUAAAACAACAUAUCAUAACACAAUUUAACAAUACAAUAAAUAAUAACAUACAUUACAAUCCAAAAUUCAGAAAAAGCAAUAAAAACCAGGGCAGGCCACAUGAACACUAAAUUAAAAAUUAAAGGUUUCCCCUGACAUUAAGUCUAGUCACGUCUGACUCUGUGGGUAGGUGCUCAUCUCUAUUUCUUAGCUGAAGAGCCGGAGUUGUCCAUAGAUAGUUCCAAGCACCAUUACCUUCCCACCGGAGCAGUACCUAUUAAUCUACUUACAUUUGCAUGUUUUCAAACUGCUAAGUCAGUAGAAGCUGGGGCUGGAUGGUCAUGAUGUUGAUGAUGAGGCUUUAAAAGAUGAGUAUUUCCUUAACCACAAAUCACUUUUAAAUAUAACCAUUGCCUUGAAUGGACCCAUUGUUUCAGAGAUCAGCUAUAAUUGUCAAAUAACAUUUAAUAAUGUGGCUGAACCCAGGUUAAAAUUUCUGUUCCAUUAUAAAGUGUUCUGGAUUAUGAGUCUCAUAAAAAGUGUGAGAAUCAAACAGGAGGUUAUGCAAAGCCUGGCAUACUUUGCACAAAAAUAAAAAUUCUGCGACAAAGCUUGAUUCUGCAUAUAUUCUCCCAUUUUUUUCUUUGUGACUCUGUAUCAUUCAUGUGGCAUUCCCAGGGAUGGACAAAGGGUUAUACAAAGGAUGACCCAUGACAUUUUGUUUACCCUUCUGAAUUCUGUGAUGCCGUCAAGAACAGUCUGUACCUUCAGGUAUAUUUUCCUAAUAACAAUUUCAUCUUCAAAAACUGAAAAGCAAUGGAAGCUAUGUUUUUUCCUUACAUUUGUAGAGGUACAUUUAAAAAUGGGGAAGUCAGUUCAUCUACUAUGCCUCUCUUUGUUGCCUCCUUGGCUGUUCUUGCCAGGUCUUUUACCCCGUGGGAGACAGAAGCUAUACCACAAAGUCCAAUGGAUGAAACAAGAGCAACAGAAGGGGAGGGAGAGAAAUGGAAGCUGGUGACAUCAUACCAGAACAUAGUUUUUUAAACUGUUCCCCAUUGACAGUUAUUUUAGCAUUUUAGCAUACUUAGUUGUACCAACGCUAUGCUGUUGGUACAAUAGUUGUACUAACCCAGAUGCUGAAGAAAUGUAUUUUGGAAUCUGAAUCUGAGUUCUUUCAUCAAAGGUUGGAAACAUUCCUUUUGGGAUUAUCUCUUCCAGAAUCUCCCUGCUAGGAGGACCAGCAAUCAUGGAGGUGGGGGGUCCUGGGAGCUUAUACCUUCACAUAUGACAUAAUUUUUGUCUUCAUUAUUGCUUAAAAAUGGGGGGAAAGACCACUGUGUUCUGCUGACUUAUGAUCAGAAUAUUUACCAGAGUCAGGGUAUGCAGAAACACUUCAAUGCAACAUGGCCUAUUUAUACAGCAUGGUUAAACUAACACUCAAUACAGCUGAAAUUGAAUGUGUAUUUUCCUUUAAACCCCAGUGGCCACAAAAUUUGGCAGCAUUCCUGCAGAUACACACAGGAUCUAAGAAGUGCGGAGGCAUGCCAUGUUCUAGAAUGGAGAUCGAAUAAAGACAUUCUAUUGUGAUUCUGUCAUGGAUAAAUACAAUUAGGCAGUUGCUAAAUGCUUACCUGCAUCAAAGUCAAGACUGAUUCAUUUUUUGGCUAUUCUUAUUUAAAUGUGUCAUAAAUAUGACUAGGUGCCAGCAGUCCAAGCAACCAGCCUACAGCUAAAUCUGCUCUGAACUGAUUAAAUUAUAUCUGCCUGAACUUCCCUGACCAUGUAAUCACUUAAAGAUUUACAGUUUUAGGUCAGGUAUUACAGGUUAGAUUACAGUUAUAAUAAGCCUGAGGUUGGUGCAGGUGAAUAUUAUAAAUGACUGGCAUCAUUUUUAAUCUUUUAUCCCAAGCUGUCUGGGGCUAAUAAGGUAACCUUGAUCUUUCUUCUAAUUUGGACAAGGAAAUCAAUAUGUCACCUAUACUGAGACUUCAUCCAGACUGUUCCUUCACAAGAUGAUACUGGAAAACUGAAUGUCCACAGAGCUCUUUCCAAUUACAGCUGCCGGCUGUUGAUAGCUCGGAUGAUUCCUUAAUUGGGAAAGAAAGUGAAAAUAUUACUCCCAUGGCGGAACCAGAUGUUCUUAGUUCCCCAGAGAAUGUGUCCUUCAACAGAAGGGAGUUUCUGCAUCGCCAGAGAUCUGAGAAACAAGAACUCCGCAGGAGUAACCGCGUGGCAUCUCGAGGGGAUAAUGGAUAGAAGGUUUUUCCCUUGGAAACCUUUAGGGAGUUUGGCUUUCCUUGUUUGUGAUCAAAUCUAAGUUCCAUAAAAGUGCUUUGCACUGUGGACAAUUUGCGGUGUCAACUUUGCGAUUUCCUGAGAAAGGUUCACCGACUCUAGCUCCUGUUUCUUCCAAGCCAAGUUUCCAGAUCCUGGUGGCCAAGCCGAGCCAUGACUCCCAAGUAGACCCGGUUUAAGUCUACUUUCUUGCCUAGCUCCUGAAUCAAGUUUUGCCUCAGUUUCAUCACGUUCCUGCCUGGAUAUCAAAGACUUCCUAGUGACUUUGGACCUUGUUAUUUCAGCCAUGCUUCCUUGUUUUUCCCCGCUCAAGAACUUUCCGACAGUUUUGAGCGUGUUUUGGUUUUUGGACUUUGGACAAUAAAAUUGGACAUUUCCCUUCAAUUCUUUGGACUAAUUCAUGCCUUUUCACAAAGGACUAUUAUCUGCACAACUUUUCCACCUAUUCCUUCCUGGAUUUAUAACUGUUUUAAUAAAUAUAUUAUAUGUUUA